This 831-nucleotide ribosomal RNA is filed under the name Haptophyta environmental samples. RNAcentral describes it as "eukaryotic LSU rRNA". It matches the Rfam family "Eukaryotic large subunit ribosomal RNA", at positions 133 to 1003 of the family's 3401-position model. Lineage: Eukaryota; Haptophyta. The record is from RNAcentral.
UCCCCCCGAAUUGUGGUCUAGAAAGGCGCCAUCGGCCGUUCGCGUCGCCCAAAUCCCUUGGAACGGGGUAUCGGAGAAGGUGAGAAUCCUGUGCCGUGGCGUGGAGGGGCCGCACGAUGCGUCCUUGUCGAGUCGGGUUGCUUGGGAUUGCAGCUUGAAGUGGGUGGUAAAUUCCAUCUAAAGCUAAAUACUGGCGAGAGACCGAUAGCGAACAAGUACCGUGAGGGAAAGAUGCAAAGAACUUUGAAAAGAGAGUCAAAGAGUGCUUGAAAUUGGCAGGAGGAAACCCGGUUGCGCCCGGCGUCGGCGCGUCGACUCAGCCUCGUGCGUGCUCGUCUGGCGACCGCAAGGCGCCUUGGGCAGCGUGCGCGGUGCACUUUGGCGCGCCGGGUCAGUCGCGGCUUUGGGCGCGAGAGAUGCUGCGCGGUGAGGCUUUUGGCGACCCGCGCGGAGCGUCGCGUUUGAGGCUCCGACUGACGGAACGGGCGCCACCGACCCGUCUAGAAACACGGACCAAGGAGUCUGACACGUGUGCGAGUAUGCGGGUGGCAAGCCUGUGUGCGGAAUGAAAGUGAAGGGCAUGCCCUGCCAACCGACCUUGAUCUUCUGUGAAGGGUUUGAGUGGAGCACAUGUGUCGGGACCCGAAAGAUGGUGAACUAUGCCUGAGGAGGGUGAAGCCAGAGGAAACUCUGGUGGAGGCUCGUAGCGAUACUGACGUGCAAAUCGUUCGUCGAACUUGGGUAUAGGGGCGAAAGACUAAUCGAACCAUCUAGUAGCUGGUUCCCUCCGAAGUUUCCCUCAGGAUAGCUUGAGCGCAUUUCACGGUUUUG